GAGGAGGACCAGACUCCUGAUCAGAUCCACAAGAAGAGUUCUGAAGGUAAAUCUAGUGGUCAUUUGAGAAUGUGUGGCCUUCUCUCAUGAUCCUCUUCAGUAUGAAGUAGAGUACAUUACAUUAAGUUCUAUAAAUAUAAAUAUAUUUUUUAAAAGCACUCUAAAAGUUUCAAUCACUGUUUGCUGUAUUUUGAAGUGUCCACCAUAUCAGUAUUGUGCAGGUUCAUUUUCACGAUGUAUUGAAUUAUUGAAUAUAGGCAUAUGUCUAUUCCACCUCAAACAUUACACACGUGUCUGUCAGUGCUUGACAUUUCACAUCAGCUGCAAUUAUUCAUCUUUUAUCAGGUGACAUUCUGGACCAGUAUGAGCUCGGCAAGGAGAUUGGAGAGGGAGGAUUUGGCAGCGUCUAUGAAGGGAAGCGCUUGGAGGAUGGCCUUGAGGUGGCAGUAAAAAUUGCCAGAAAGCCAUCGAACAUGAAAUACAUCAACAUCGCUGGUCAUCCUGAGCCCCUUCCUUUAGAGAUCGGCCUGUUGAUACUGGCUCAUAGAGGCGGCAAGGUUCCAGAGAUCAUUGAGCUGCUGGACUGGCAGGACCAGCAGGAUCGUUACAUCAUGAUCCUGGAACGACCUUCACCAUGUGUAGAUCUGUUCGACUUCAUAAUGUCUCUCGGCUCUAUCACUGAACGCCAGGCUCAAAAGAUCAUGGAGCAGGCAACAACGGCCGGUCUCAUGUGCUGCAGACGUGGGGUAUUUCACCGAGACAUAAAGCUGGAGAACCUGCUGGUCAACACAGACACGCUUGAGGUCAAGCUAAUUGACUUUGGCUGUGGGGCUCUUCUCCAGGAAUCUGGCUAUGACAGUUUCUGUGGUAUGUAUUAAACUUAACACCUGUAGUCUGGACUGUCAAUUUGACCAAUCAUGUAUUUUCAUGUUACAGAGAAAACAUGCUUUAGUGUUUCAUGCUGAGACCAAAUCUUGUUCCUUCAGGCACAAAGGAGUACUUCCCACCGGAGUACUACCUGGACGACGAAUACCAUGCAGAACCAUCCACUGUAUGGUCUUUAGGAGUUCUGUUAUUCCUGCUGCUGU
This is a non-coding RNA of Danio rerio (zebrafish), 1088 nucleotides long. The record is from RefSeq and is a predicted model, not a curated record. Lineage: Eukaryota; Metazoa; Chordata; Actinopteri; Cypriniformes; Danionidae.